Molecule: ribosomal RNA, 254 nt
Filed under: uncultured bacterium
Lineage: Bacteria
Description: partial 16S ribosomal RNA
Rfam family: Bacterial small subunit ribosomal RNA
Source: RNAcentral
UACGUAGGGUGCGAGCGUUGUCCGGAAUUACUGGGCGUAAAGAGCUCGUAGGCGGUCUGUCGCGUCGAUCGUGAAAACUUGGGGCUUACCCCUGAGCUUGCGGUCGAUACGGGCAUGACUGGAGUUCGGCAGGGGAGACUGGAAUUCCUGGUGUAGCGGUGAAAUGCGCAGAUAUCAGGAGGAACACCGGUGGCGAAGGCGGGCCUCUGGGCCGAUACUGACGCUGAGGAGCGAAAGCGUGGGGAGCGAACAGG